UACGUAGAGAGCAAGCGUUGUCCGGAAUCAUUGGGCGUAAAGGUACGCAGGCGGUCUAUUAAGUCAGAGGUGAAUCCAACAGCUCAACUGUUGAACUGCCUUUGAUACUGGUAGACUUGAGGAUAAGAGAAGAACGGAAUUCCUAGUGUAGCGGUGAAAUGCGUAGAUAUUAGGAAGAUACCGAUGGCGAAAGCAGUUUUCUAACUAUUCCUGACGCUCAGGUACGAAAGCUAGGGUAGCAAACGGG
RNAcentral lists this ribosomal RNA (247 nucleotides) under uncultured bacterium. Its description in RNAcentral is "partial 16S ribosomal RNA". It matches the Rfam family "Bacterial small subunit ribosomal RNA", at positions 524 to 776 of the family's 1533-position model. The record is from RNAcentral.